UACGAAGGGGGCUAGCGUUGCUCGGAAUUACUGGGCGUAAAGGGCGCGUAGGCGGAUAUUUAAGUUGGGUGUGAAAUCCCGGGGCUCAACCUCGGAAUUGCCUUCAAAACUGGAUAUCUUGAGUUCGGGAGAGGUGAGUGGAACUCCGAGUGUAGAGGUGAAAUUCGUAGAUAUUCGGAAGAACACCAGUGGCGAAGGCGACUCACUGGCCCGAUACUGACGCUGAGGCGCGAAAGCGUGGGGAGCAAACAGG
Molecule: ribosomal RNA, 253 nt
Filed under: uncultured bacterium
Lineage: Bacteria
Description: partial 16S ribosomal RNA
Rfam family: Bacterial small subunit ribosomal RNA
Source: RNAcentral